UUGGGAGCUUGAAUUUUUGGGUUUCUAUUUAAGCCUGACGACAUGGGCUGAUAAGUCUUCAGACUUGUGAUAAGUCGUCAGCUCAUGUCGUCACUCAUUUGCCAGGCGGACAAGCCGGAGUAAAAUGGGUAUAACUUUUUGCUCUGACAUUAGAUUUUGGUGAAAUUGGUAUCAUUGGAAAGAUAAUUAAAUUAUCUAUCAGUUGGUAGGUUAUGAUCUCAAUAAUUCAUAGUAUAACGAGAGAAAUUCUCAUUUAAAUUUGACUAUAGCAAUAUCUUUCCCAAGAAUUUAAUCGGUAAGGAAUGUUUUGAUUCGUUUGAUAGCUGGAAGUUAUUUGAAGACUUAAUAUACAUAUAAAUUGCUCAUAAAACUAUAAAAUAACCAUGAUGUACUAUGCAUGAGCUUGAAACAUGGUGUUAAUAUUGAUUUGGAUUUUUUGGGGUAUUACACCUAGACAAACCCGACCCUUGUGUCGAGUCCCCCUAAGUCAAAUGCACAUGAUGCAAAUAAAGCAAAACCUAAUAGGGAUAACCAGAUUGUGAGUUUCAGUUCUUCUAAGUUUAACCUAAUAGGGAUAGGUGUCUAGACUGGCUUAGUCGAGCGGGCACUCGAGUCGGGGAGGGACAACUUGUUCGGUAGCAAUGCUACUCCGCCUUCGUUGUCAAUCUGAACCCCGCCUAAUAUGUGUGACUAAUAAUUAUUCACCAGGUGCCUUGACACUCCGGCUAUCUCAAAAAGAAAUUAGGAUGCAUGCGCUGCAUUUCCUCUAUCCUAUUUCAAAGACUUAGAGGGAGUGUGCAAGAGAAGACAACUUAUAAUACAGUUCAAUCAAUAUCAAAACAGUAAAUGAGCGACAAGUAGCACAUAAGGACAACAAAUACAUAAAAAUAAUUCAAGCAAGUAAAAUUCAAUAUCCAAAGCUCAAAUUCUGGUUAAUCCCCAAUCGAGUUGCCAGAGAUGUCACACCCCUUUUCUGCUUGAGGUUUGAGUCGAAGGAUUUUUUCAAUUAAAGUGAUGAUAUUCAAU
RNAcentral lists this long non-coding RNA (1026 nucleotides) under Capsicum annuum. RNAcentral describes it as "long non-coding RNA (CANN_LNC017807)". Lineage: Eukaryota; Viridiplantae; Streptophyta; Magnoliopsida; Solanales; Solanaceae. The record is from RNAcentral.